Acinonyx jubatus (cheetah) is the source of this 12403-nucleotide long non-coding RNA. RefSeq lists it as uncharacterized. The record is from RefSeq and is a predicted model, not a curated record. NCBI's taxonomy places the organism in Eukaryota, Metazoa, Chordata, Mammalia, Carnivora, Felidae. The transcript is spliced from 3 exons.
UAUAAAUCCCCAGGCUGAGGCACAUUAAGCUUCACUGAGGGAGAAACAGUGCUUUUUAUCAAAGGGCUGGACAGCUACGCGCACAAGAUGUCACCUGCAGGGAUUGGUUUUGCUCAGAUGUGCAGGGAAUAUGUAUAGGGGGAAAGAAAUGUCCGUGCGUGUGCAGGUUUUGGCAGGUGCGCAUGAAGCCUGGAAGGAUUUUCUUUGGAUCCACAAUCAAAAUGGAUUUCCAGGAGGGACCUUGUCUGAGCACAUGCCUCUUUCAUGUGCUGCAUAUGGCCCCAUCCCGCCAGACAGGUCCUCAAGAAAGCGAUCGGCACCUGCUUCAGUUCUGGCCAGAGCUCGUUGGCCCACGUGGUGGGCGGAAAACUGAAAGGAGGACAGAGAAGCAUCUUAGAGACUCGAGGAGGAGUUGAGUCUCUCACCACCUUCCUGCAGGUCUUCUGAAUACUUCUGAGCACAGGAACCUCUUCUCUCAACAGGCAAGUCAGUAGUUAUUGAGAUAAAACCACAACACAGACUCGAGCCAGGGUUAAUAUCAACCAUCCGCUGUCCACAGAGCACUGACUGUGGGCCAUGCAUUGUGCUAAGCACUCUCAUUUAAUCCUUACAACAAUCCCUGUGAGGUAGGUGCUACUACUACCCCAUUGUACAGAUGGGGACACUGAGGCCUAAAGUUCCACAGCUGGUAACUUGCAGAAUAGAAAUUCCUCCCCUGGGCCGUCUGACUCCAGCUAUAGCUAUUUAUGGCAGGAGAAAAAUAGGCUAAGUGUGUCUUAAGAAACCAUCAGUUGUGGUCACACAACCACUCCAAAUAUGAAGAAAACAAUGAAACAGCAGUGGUAAUGGGAUAAUAAUAUUAUCCCAUUAUAUCGUGGGAUUAUGUUGUCUUGUUGUCUGGCAUAAGUUAAUUUCCAUAAUGUUUUUCUAUUUCAGUCAAAGCGGUCUUCUUUUUUUUUUUUUUUUUUUUCUCUUCUAGUGACGUUUCCCAGGUGUAGAAAGUGGGAAUAUGUCAGGCAGCUACAUUUGAGAGUCUUUGUCUCUAUUAAAGAGUUUGAUUGUAACUUCACCCCAAAUCCCUUGGAAAAGACCAGACAGUCCCUGCUCCAGCUCCACUUGGAAGAACAUCGCAAAUGUGGUGGUUUCUGGGCCACUGGUUAGGUUAAGCAAAUGGGUUUCCAGACAUUCAACCUUUAAUGGGAAAGUUCUGUGGCUUGGAUCAGUAAAGUCAUAAAGUGCUCAUUUAAUUAUGUUUCAAGCCCAUUUAUCUGUUUUUGAGUCUAAGGAAGAUGUAUUCCAUCAGAAAGGGUAGAUACAAGGGAUGAGUAAAUGAUUUUUCUCUUUUUUCCCUUGACUCAUUUGAACAGCUGCUUCCAAAUUGAACCUUUAAGUAUGGCAUUUGUGAGUGAAAUUGCCCCCUUUUAUUUGCAAGGUAAUUGAAUCUCAUUUUUCACUUUCCAUUUCCUUCUAGAAGAAUCAAAAUGUUUUUAGAACUUGGCUUCUCCGUGGGCGAUUUUAUAAGGUGGGAACUUCAGCAUCAUACAAGAGACUGGUGUGCUGAUGGCAUUCAGGACAAUUCAAGACAAGGGCAGUCAGGCCUGUUCUCUGCAGCUGAACCAACCCCACCAACCCCCGAGAGCAUAUUGAUUUCACUGUGUUUGCACUUGAAACACCAAAGGAAUGUCCACACCUUGUCCUUGGGCCAGGGCUGAGGGAUAGGAGAGGUAGACCUUUGUCACCCUUGAAGAAGCUGAGGGGCACUAUCACUCAGAGGCAAAGCCUGGAACCGUGAGCUAAAUUGGCUUAGAUUUGUGUCUCCGAAAGUGCUGGACAAAUGAGAGCUGAUUUUAGGUGGCAGGUGGAUGGGACUUUAAAUGAUCUUGAAUCCCAUAGUAACAUAAGAUUAUGUUUCCAACUGUCUUUCAAUUCUUCUGAUUACAUAAAGGGCAAAGUCUCUGUUUGAUGCUCUGUCUUUAACAUUUUUCUCAUCUUGUUUUUUAAAUAAAAAAAAGACCAGGCCUGAGUCUUGGGCCUUUAGAAGGUAACAGUUUACGGUUUCCAUUUAAUAACAUUGUUUCAUUUUUUAUUGUUUUGUUCUUAUGAUAACUUUUGAUUGAUGGCAUUUUAAAGGUCGGAUAUAAAGUUUUAUUUUAAGACAAUGGGUUAAGAUUUUUUUUUACUUUUUUUUAAAGGUUAUUUAUUGAUUUUGAAACAGAGAGAGAGAGUGAGAACUAGCAGGGGAGAGCAGAGAGAGGAAGAGAGAGAAUCCCAGGCAAGUUCCUCACUGGCAGCAUAGAUCCUGAUGCAGGACUCUAACUCAUGAACCGUGAGACCAUGACCUGAGCCUAAACCAAGAAUCAGAUGCUUAACUGACUGAGCCACUGAGGCGCCCCAAGAUUUUUUUUUUACUAUUAGUAAAUGAUGUUUGUGUGGUUGUGGAAAAACUCACCUGCAUGGCAUCUGAGCGCUACAGCCUGGGAUGCACUGGUUUCAGUGGACCAGCAGGAAACUGGAGGAAGAUUGGUUUCUCCCAAACUCACAGAUGUGAUUCCCAGUCAUUCCUCUGCCCUCACCAACUGGGUGCUUAGCUCGCUUGAGCUUCAGUUUUCUCAUCUGUAAAGUGGGUGUUACGAGCAGCUGUAGGAAAGCGGGCUUCUUCCGUUUCCUAAGACCCAGACGCUGACCUCUUGGUGGAGCCUCAGGAAGUCAGGUUCUCUUCCUUCGAGGUUAGUUGCGUCCUGUUUCCUUCAUGCAGAGGCUCUGAGUUUGCCGCUGGCUGGGAGAAAAAGUGAGUCACAGUUCAUCACCCCUGCAGCCUGGGGGAGAAGUGUGCUCCCGGGGCCAGAGAAUCAAGCAAACCCAUCUGGCCACGAUGGCUCAGCAGCAUGAAGGCCGAAGAUUUGUGCACAGGCAGGCUUUCCCUUCUCAGGCAACAAAUCUUUGGCAAUCGGAGGCAGGCUCUGGAUUAAGCUUAAUUAAAAUUCAGUCUUAAUUAGGGCCAUUACUUAAAAUCAACUCUAUGUAAUGAAGCUGUGUAAUCAUAAUUAAGCCCAGAAAUGGAAUUAGGAAGCACAGAAUGUUAAAGCCAAACACAGAUGGGCCCAGGGCCUAUGAGGACAGAGACAGGACUUCUGGAUUCAACAGAAUUUCAAAUAGCUAAGGACCAAUGAUUGCAUUGAUGCGAACCUUGAUGGCCAUCAGGACAAUGAACUAAUCAGAAAGAGGAUUCGGGAUACAUGGGACCCCAAGAUGCAAAGCUUGUGUGACAUUACAGGCAAGAGGAUGGGGCAGCAUCAGGCAGAGGGGACCAAUGUAUGUUGAGGAGAAACAGGGGCACUUAGCAACAUUUUACAUUGACAACUUCCUCUGUAUCCAGCACCGUUCUGUUGUGUGUGUGUGUUUUUAAAUGUAUGAGCUAAUUUUAUUUUCACGAUCACUCUGUGAAUGGGUAUUAUUAUUUCCUCCAACUUACAGAUAAGGAAUCUGAGGCUCAGAGAAGUUAAGUAACUUGCCAAGGUCAUGCCACAAGUAAGUGGCAAAUACUAAAGGCUGCACAAAUGGUACUUAUUAUUAUAAAGGUACUAUCUGUCUGUUUAACUCUGUUGGUCAGAGUUAGUAAAACCUACAAACAACACAUGUGCAGAAGCUAUACCUAAGUCCCAAGUGAGGUCACUUACCCAUGAUUGUCCCCAGAUCCAAAGCCUAUGCCUCUAUUUUAUUUUUUUUAAGUUUAUUCAUUAUUUUUUAAGUUUAUUUAUUUGAGAGAGAGAGAGACAGAGAGGCAGAGAGAGAGGGAGAGAGAAAAUUCAAAUGUCCACACUGAUAGUACAGAGUCCAAUGCAGGGCUUGAUCCCAUGAAUUGUGAGAUCAUGGCCUGAGACGAAAUCAAGAGUUGGAUGCUUAACUGACUGAGCCACCCACGUGCCCAAGCCUAUGCCUCUAACACUGUCAGGAUAGGUCAGGCAUUUAGGUUCAGAGAGGAAGGUACUAUCAGGUACUAAUUCCAGAACUGCAGAGCUGGAGGGGGAAGAGAAAGGAAGAGAGAGUUCCAUCUGAUACUUGUUUUUUGGCUUAGCAUUUUAGUUUUCCUUGCUCAGGAGACCCUGGGAAUUAUACUCAGGAGUGGAAAGGGGAUGUUUGAGCACCGGUAGCUUUCCCUCCCUCCCUGAGCUCCCUAUUGUUCAGAGCAUGGCUCAUGUCUCAUACCUCUUACGCCAUCAUCUAUCUGUCUAUCUAUCUAUCUAUCUACCAACUCUUACACCGUGUGUUGUGUGUGUAUGCACACAAAUACCAUGCUGUCCCAGAAAUACUGUCCAGUCUAGGGUGCCCUCUCAGACUCUUGUUUUUGCUCUCAAUCAAGUCAGACCAGCAGGAAGGACUUCUCCAUGCCCAGAUUUAGAACCAGAUAUGCCAUUGGUGCUGGAAAUGUCCUGUGGUUCAUGUUUCCCAAACAGCCUCAGGCCCACCCAGAGAUUCCUCUCAGUGUCACUCACUCCACAGUGCUCACCUCCAGUGAUGGGGACAUCACUACUUACUGAGUUAAAUCCUUCAGUUCUGGAAGAUAGUGUAGAAGGGACAUUUGGCUUAGGCCUAGGCCUAAUGAUCAUGAAGGCCUUCCAAUUCCAGACUUUUGAUAUCAUCUCUAAAUGAGUGAUACACACAAUCCAUAUGUGGAAAUAUUCGUUUGUUAAAUGCAAAUGUUUCAGUCAAAUCACAUUUUAUUUUAUUUUUUUUGCAAGGAUGUGUUAGCCUUCCCCAUUUUUUUAUAUACCAGGAACCUGAUUGUAAAAGAAGACACAUCAUGGCCUGGUCCACUAUCUACAUCUAGGAGGCCCCAGGAAUUAUCAAAGACCUUUCCAUUGCAGUGUUUCCACUCUGUGUGGAGGGUUAGGGAACAUUGGCUUGGUGAGUGCCUCUUGCUUAUGCCCUGGGUGUCCUUAGCAUGGAGGCAUGGGAACUAGAGGGAGGUCUUGCUCUGAUUAAAAGGGGUUUAAGUUUGCUGCCCAAGACCAACAUUACAUAGCCAAGAGCACUGCUGUUUUGAGGAGGAGGGCAAACGGUGGGGGGAAGAGAGGCCGUGGCCAAGUCAGGUUUCUCAGGAUCCUAGAGACCCUGCUUGGUAAGGAAUGGAGCAAAUUCCUUGUGCACAUGCCAGGCCGCCGAACCACACAGUUCCAGGGGCACCCUACGCGUGGUGUUCUAUGCAAAUGUCUCCCAACGGGGUUGUGCCACAUGGAGGCCCUGAUGCAAACCCCAAUCCCAAAGGGCACUCCCAAAGUAAGCUGGUGCUACAUGAGGGGGCUGAACCCCAGAUUGCAAGGUAUUCACAGACACUGGCUCAUGAGGAGGCCACCGUCCCUCUCCCACCCAUGACCUCUUUGUCCUUUAUCCUGAGAGCAUCUGCCUCUAUUUACACUAAAUAGCUCCAAUGCCAUUUGCUGGUUCCUGUAUUUUGGGCAAGCUGAGCUGGAGGCCCCUGCAGCCGGUCUGAGCAGGUAGCUGUGCUGGUGAUGGUCACGCGGAAGGUCCUGCUCUUCCAACAAAGUUUAGCAAACACCUUAUCUCCCAGAAAACAGAUGAGGUAAUGUUUAUGAAAUAUCACUCUGUCCCUUUCCACUGGGCUGAGGGGUGCCAGUGUGACCAACUUGUGCCAGAAGGUGGACUCUCCUCAGCCACCUUGCUCCCCCAUUCUCCUCUCCUGCUCCCUCAUUUGGGUAAGAAACCUCACUUAUGUCCUUUCUCACCGUAGAUGGUGGGAGAACAGGACUCUCCAUUCUGGACAGUCCAUUCAGGACUCACCUUGGCCUUUGUGUCUCCAGUUUUCAAGGCACAUUCACAGCUCCCUUAUGUGAGGAAACUGAGGCAGAGAGAAGUAAAGCAUCUUGGCCAAAGUUACAGGCAGGGUGGUGGCUGCACUGGGGACCCAGGGUCCUACUUCUGAACUGCUUUAUUUGUGAUCACCAUUCAUUUAAAGAUUCCUUAUUUUUGAGAUGGCUGGCUGGAUGGAUGGGUGGGAGCUAGCCAUAGAGACAGAUCAAAGAAAGAUAGCUCACAAGCAAGUAACAGGUGGAAAGAUAGAGAUGAUUGUGUAAGUGUAGAUGGUUCCUGAAGGAUACAGAAAAACACCGUGGACAAUAGUUGCUCCAGGGAAGGCAAUGGGGAAUCUGGGUGAGAGAGACUGCUUUUUAUUCUUCUUUACCUUUGCUUCCUCUGAACUGUUGAAGUAUUUUUCUUGCACACAUAUUAGUUUUUUAAAAUGUUUGUUUAUUUUUGAGAGAGAGGGAAGGAGAGAGAGAGAGAGACAGCAGGGGAGGGGCAGAGAGAGAGGGAGACAGAGAAUCCCAAGCAGGCUCCACACUGUCAGUGCAGGGCCUGAGGCAGGGCUCAAUCUCAGGAACCGUGAGAUCAUUACCUGAGCCAAAACCAAGAGUCAGAUGCUUAGCUGACUGAGCCACCCAGGCACUCCUGUACACAUACUAGUUUUAAAAAAUUCCCUUUUCUACUUUUAUUUGUGGUAUGAUUUUCAUGUGUUUGUCCACAGGAGAGAUUGGGAGCCCACACUCCAGGAAAGUCACAAGAGGCUCUAGGAAAAGAACAGCUGUGGAAGAAUCUUGUAGAUAAAGAACAAUAACAGAAAUCACUGCGCAGGAGGACUGGAAGGGAAUAAGACAAAAUGCUGCCUUUAGAUGUCUGGCCAGGAAGAAGAUCUACAUGUUCAUGAAAACAUCACAGGAGAAAUAAAUGUGAAAGAACAUCAGGGGAAGAUGGACUCAUGUCUUGGAGUAAGAUCUUGCAACUUUGUCAUUUUGUAGUUUGUGUCUCUUGGUGGAGGAGAUUCCAUCCACAGCCAGUGGUGGUGAUCCAACACUGCUGGGCCAUUCCUGGUUCCCUUGCUGUGAGUGUGACACAGGGUGCUCGUCCGCUCUGGCUGAAGGGAAGAGGGUCAUGAAUGGAGAGCAAGGGGAGGCAGAAGGGUGGGCCAGUGGGAUCCGGGAGAGCCCCAAGGAGCUGGGCAACCAAAGCCAAGAGGAGCACACCAACUGCCCAUGGGCUAAGGUCGGAAGUCUGGGGAAGCUGAGACAAAAAAAAAACGGGGGUUCAGCAAGGGGCACACAGAUACUCAAAGCAGAGGGGAAAUUCUACUUAUGGACCUUCAUGGCAUUCCAAAAUUAGUUAACCCCUGGGAGAGGCUAAAUAUUGAUAGUUUUUCUCCCUGUCCCUCUGGCCAACUGUCUUUUUAGGGGUCCCCGUUAGCCCCAUUAUAGCUCAGCCCACCUCAUUCCUUUCCAUUCUGUUCACCCCACUCUGUGCCAAGCGCUGCUUGGCGACACCAGAGGACUGUGUGUUGGGAUAAGGAAGAAACAAGGUAAACGUAUUACAUGACUAGUGCUGUCUUUCGGGCAGGGGCAACAUGGUAGCUGAUGGGCUGAGGCGGGCAGGAAAGGCUUCCAGAGGAGCAGGUACUGAGCUGAGUCCUCAAGGACACUGUGAGCAGCCUCCCAGCACAUCUGAGAGAGGAGGGCGAUUUCUGGAAAAUACAUAAGAGUGACGGAUGCCCCUGCCAUGUGCCUGGUGGAUGUCAGCUUCUGAAUUACAGGUGUGUUCAGAGGAGAUCUGGGGCCAUGAGGCUACCACACAGGUGGAGUGGCCUCCAAAGGGCAUUGACUGACCUGCUGAGGGAUCUGUAAUGAGGGGAAGAGACAGGUCUGAUUUGAACUUGGCAGUGGGUGUCCAUGUGAGACAAUAUGGAGAGGUACCUCUGUUAUCCUCGGUAUUGUGUCUUCAUUUGGGGGAGAAGAAAUUCUAAAUUUAUCAUUUAAUCAGAUGACUUUAGAAAAGUAGCUAUCUAGGUGCUGAGAAAAUUGGUUCAUUCAUUCAUACUUCAUUUAUUCAUUCAAAACAAUUCUUGUACCUCAGUUUAUAUUUCCUACUGCUUAAAUUUCCGUGGUGUCUACACAGAUUGUUAAGGCAUUGUUCUAAUCUCAAGAACCUUAAAAACAGAAGGAGGGGAAGGUGAGGACUAACCCCAUGGUGUUAACCCAUAAACUGAGCUGGUCACAUCACCACCUCACCACUACUUAAAAUGUCCCAGUGGGUUUCUAUUUCUCUCAGGAAAAGUACAAACUUUUAUCCAGGCCAAAACAUCCCUCUAUGGCCUCACCUCCUGAGACCCAUCUCUUAGCACCUCCCUUCUUUUCCCUCCGUGCCAGCCUCAUUGUCCUUUAUGUGGUCCUUGCCAGACUGUCUUCAACCACAGGCCCUUGACACAUGUUGUUCCCUCUUCCACUGUCAUCUCCCUGGGUUCAUGUGCACUCAUCCUUCUAAGUGCACAUCAAUGCUGCUUCCUCGGGGUAGGCUUUCCUGGUCUAUUUAAAUUGACUCCGACCUUAGUACACAACUCAUACUCCAUAUAACAUCCUUCAUAAGUCUUAUCCCAGUCACAAGAAUUUUUCAUUUAUGUACAUGAUAACUUUAUUAAUAUCUGUAUUCACCAGACUGUAAGCUCCAUGAGAACAAGGGCUGUGUCUUUCCAAAAAAUCAACUUUACUGAGGCAUAAUUUUUGUACAACAAACACACCCACUUCACACGCACAUUUCAAUGAGUGUUGACAAAUUUACACAAAAAUGGAUUCACUGUGUAACCACCAACACGGUCAAGAUGGGGAACAUUUCCAUCGCCUCAAAAAGCUCCUCUGUGCCUCAUCCCAGUCAACUCUCUGCUUUGCUUCCUAUCUCUAUAGAUUAGCCUUUUCUAAAGUUUCAUAUAAAUGGAACCAUGCAAUAAGCAUUGUUGUGUCUGGCUUCUUCCAUUCAACAUAAUGUUUUUGAGAGUCAUCCUUGUUGUUGUAUCAGUGGUUCAUUGCUUUUUGUUGCUGAAUACUCUUCUCCAGUUGGUUCAUGGAAAUUACCUGUGUCUCUUCAGGUAAGCCUUUAGCUCCUUAAGGACAGAGGCCACAUUCUUUGACACCUCUGAUACUUGGUGUGGGCCUAGGCACAUAGGAGACCUUUGGGAGUAGCAGAGUCCAUCUUCCCUGACCCAGGGCAUGGGAGUGGCUACUCUGUACCCACAUUCAACAGUCACCCUGAUACUCACAGUCUUCCCCUCCAUGCCCACAGGCUGACCUUCUUGGCCCAGGGAUCCCAAGCACAUUUACCUCCUUCAGAAUCAGUCUGAUGCCUCUCACAGCAAUGCAGAGAAGUCCUGGGCCAGCCACAGCAGCCUGGGAGAUCACAGGCAGAUCAGAUCCCUCUGACACUGGGCACGUUGAUUUCCUUAACUGCCAAACAGAGACACUGCUGUCUACCUCACAGGGCCACUAAGUGGGCACAUGUGUGUGGAAGUGCCACUUGAAGUAGAAAACACAAUACUACACAGUAAGAGUGAAUUUAAUCAUUUAAUGGAAUUAACAAUGGCCUGUGUUACUUGGGACCCCUUUUCCCUCUCAGGAUCUUCAGUUUCUUUACCCAUCAGAUGAAAAGUUGAGCUAGAGUUCCCUAAGAUGCCUUCUGUCUUGAACCUUCUUGGAUUCUAAGGUGCUGGAAUAUGAGAGAAAGGGCCUGAUGAUCCAGAAUUAGAAAAAAAUUUGUGUGAUUUUUUUAGAAAACAACUGACUUCUCUGAAAGUUCUCUUCCUGAGUAAAGGAUUCAGCUCUAGUUGUGAGAACAAACCAAUGUUUUUGCAUUAAUAGCCUUAAAUCUGCCACUCUUUCCAAGCCUGUCAUGGAAAGUACUAGAGCUCCUUUCUUCCCAUGUGCUGGCUGGUGCUAUGUGGCACGUCUUUUGCUGGACUAGAUCUUUGAUGGGUCCCCAUUACUGGAAGAGCAGGAACAGCCUCCCCUUUUGCAAAAGCCAAUAGUUCAGUUCAAAUGACUCUUUGUGGGCCCUGUCACUCAACAAAGGAUUCCUGAGGGCCCAGGUGUGUUAGGGGCUUUAUAAGUGUUGUCUCUCUCUCUGCCUGUGCUGGAAGUCUUAGACCAAAAUUUAAGAUGGAGAAAUGGCUCAGUGAGGUGUGUAAAUGAUCAAGUUGGAGCUAAAUCACCAGGUCCUCCUUUCUGCUCUAAUAGGCCCUGCACUAGGCCCAGGGGAUUCCAAAAUAGUUCAGUCACACUUGAAUUCUUAGAGGCCAGGAAGCGAAAGCAAUAGUUUAAUAUUUAUUGAAGAGAAACCCAAGGCUGUCAAGGUUGUCACUAACUCACCAUCUCGUUCAACUCCCUCAUUUUACUGAUGAGCCGACAGGGGUCCAGAGAAGGGGUCUGACUUGCCUGGAGUGACGCAGCCAGCUGGCUGCCAGCAGGAGCUGUUACCCAGGCCUUCUGACUCCCAGAUUGGGGCUUUCAUGGCCAGAGCAUGCCCUGGGGCAGAACGGGGACUGUGGCCAGAAACAAGGAAGUGUGGAAUUAGGAACAAGGCUAUAUUUCCAAAUCACUGUCUCCAGCAUGCCGGCUGGGAGCGAAGAAGAAGAAUGGCGUUCUGGGAACCAGUCAGCAGAAACCAUUUCAUAACUGCCCUUAAAAUAGUACAAUGCUGUGUCCUUUUCCCGUGACCUCUGGCAGACUGCAGGACAAAUCUCAGAACAACCAUUUUGUGAGACUGCAUUUCCUUGCUCCCCCCCGCACCGAGACCCUCGCGUCAAUGUAAAGACCCAAGGACCUCGGAGUAGCAAUUCCCAUUUUGCAAUCGGUACCAACUCCGUUUGCUAUUUGGUCCCAAACCCCCUUUGUUUUGAAAAAUCUUGGCUAUUAGGUUGUGUUUAUUAAUCAGUCCCCAGUUAUUUCCCCCAUUCUAUCAUUCUCAAAGACAGAACCUCCAGAUCAGUGUGAGGUGAUCAGUGAAUCGGUGGACACUGGCAAGUGCCCUGAGUGCCCACCACCCAUCAGGGCUCAUGCCGGGUAAGCAUGCAGCCAUCUUGGCUCCUUGGAUCUUCCCACCAACCCUGGGAGGUCGGUACCCAUUUUCCCCACCUCAAGUGCAGUGAGCAGUGUUCAGGAAGGCCAUCGUGCCAGGACAUGGCAGAGCCAGGAAAUCUGAGCCCUGAGCUGUGCUGGCAAGGCUCCCCCAUUAGCCUGGGUGUCUUACCGCCAUCAGAAAGAGCACGCAGGCACUCUGAGCCUAGAGCCCCUGACUGCCUCUAGGGGAAGCCCUUCUAGAGUCUGAGGUGUCUGAGGAGCUGUGGAGGGGCAAGGUAAGAUCCAGAAGGACCCCCAGCCAUCCCGGGAACGAACACUGGAAAGGGCCACACAGGGCUCCUCAGCAGUGGGCAUGGUGACUGCUCAGCCAACAGGACACAGGCUUUGCACAAGCGGGCACAUUCCCACAGAUGACUCAGGAGGCAAGACGAUAGGAUGGGGUUUGCAAGUCAGACCCAGACUGGCCCAUCUCAUAGCUGUGUGAACUCGAGCCUUGCUUUUCUCACCUGUAAAAUGGGGCCAAUACAAGCUACCUCAGUGUUACUUCAGAUGAUCUGGUGAGAGAGGUGUUGCCUGAUGCCUGGAAGAUAGUUAGGGCUUAAUAAUUGAGAGCUGCCCUUCUUGAUGCAGGGCGGGUGUUCCUCUGAGUCCCCCUUGGCCACAAACUUGGAAUAUCCGAUUUCUGCUUCACCCAGAGUCUGCAGCACAGUAAGACUGUCGGCGGCUGUGACCCAGGUCAUCUGCACCGGCCUCCAGAGCAGCCCUCUGUGAGCCACUGACGCCCGUUGCCAAUCGGGGUAGAAGCAUGCCUACUCCAUGCCACGACCUGGGGCGGCCCUCAUGCCAGGACAAUGGUGCUGGAACACUGACCUAGAGAAGCUGACCAUAAAUGGGGGGUAAAAUGGGGGUGCUAAUGGUUCAGAAGUUUGUUUUUAGGGAAGAUUUAAUGAGGUAAUAUAGGGAAAGGACAGUGCCGGGCUCAUAAUAUGUGCUCAGUAAAACUUAGCCGUAAUCAUAAGAAUUAUUAUCUCCUAGUGGCCAAGUAAUAUCUUAUUCUCUCAAAGGCCAUGUAGGGGUGCAAUCAUCACUUUCCCAUUUUACAGAUGGGGAAGUCAAGGGGAGGGGCAGGAACCUCCCCAACACGCAAGGUGUAGAUCCUUUCACUUGCACCCCGUGGCCAUCCAGGUGGCUCUGGCUGGGCUCUGGUCACCCAGUGGGCAGUGGUGAGGUGGUGCCUUGUGCGGGAGCAGAACCCCUCGAGGCUCUUCGACCUCCCUCACCCUCCCGGCCAUUUCAGACUUUCCCCGGCUACUUCCAAGCACGCCAGGACUCAGGCGCAAAGCUGCAAGAGCUGGCCUCCAGGGGGCAGCAGGAGCCUGGGAAACUCUAGGCUGGCUGAACUAGGAAUCCGAGUGCCACAGGCUAGCCAGGGUGCCCUGCGGGGAAUGUUGACCGGCUGAGGGCCAUGCUGCCUGUGCCUGGAGCUGAACUCAGGG